UCUCUGACCGGCUUUCAGAAAGAUUUACAAAGGAGCUGCAAACAGAAAGCGGGUGGGAUAGCUGUGCAUGUCAAGAACACAAGAAAAUAAUGUUUUCUUACAUAAGUGGUGUAAGAUAUUGAACUUUUUGGUCAAAAUUUUCAUUCAUCUUUUAUGUCAAGGAGGUUCAUCAUCAUUAUUUUAGCAGCAGUACACCUUUGGCUAAUGCUACCGUAGCAUGUGACCUUGUUGCCGUGGCUGUUGCUAAGCUACAGACACACCGAGCCCAUUACAUUUGUGGGACAACUAGUGAUUCAAAGUGCUGCACGGAGGUGUUCACAGGAAUCUGAAGAGACUCUUCGAGGAUGUUUGGAGGAUACAGACGGCAAUUCACUCAUGAGGCGCUUUCCCAAAGAUGAACCCUGGAUCACCAGUGACCUGAAAGAACUUCUUAACAAGAAAAUUAUAGCUUUCAAGGGUGAUACAUGGAAUUAUGAAGAAUUGUGCAGAAACAAUAUCAGGUGUGGAGGUAAAAUCUGGAAUGUUUAUUUUUCAAUUGCAGUAAACUAAAAAUAUAUGUAUGUCUUUUUAAAGUCACUGAAACCAAAAUGUUUUUGUUUUUUUUGCGGUAUUUAUCAUUUUAAAACAAGAGUUUUUGAGUGCGUUUCUGAAGGAAACUUUCAGAAAAAAAAAAUGUUAAGCUACAAGUCUGCAAAAACAGAUGAAAAAACAGUAGGCCUAUUUCUCCUACAUUAAGAAAGAAAAUGUUUAUGCACCAUAUUUUUCCCUCGUUAAACACUGAUCAUUGAUCCAAAUUUUUGACUUGUCCACAAUUUGAUCCUCAAGAUGCUCUAACAAUGUGAUCUCCCCACCAGCAACUCAACUUCUUUAUUGUUUAAAGCAGUGAUAUAGUGUAAAAGUUGUGUCCAAAUUGUAUUAAAAUCCAGAGCACUAGAUAGUACCGUGCUAUAUAGUAUUUAGGGAUUUGGGUGGGAAUUUGGACUUAGCCAAUUAUUCAGAUUACUAUUGCAAAAGUAAUAUGCUAAUAAGUCAACCAAACUCUUUAAACCACUUUAAAAUCACUAAAAUUCAUCAAAUUCUUUAUUUUCUUCAUCGCUUUUGAACAACUCUAGUGAAGCUUGUACUUCUUCUGCGUUGCUGUCAGUAGCAAAUAUUGCUACACACCUGCAGUGCCCCCUAGUGGUUGUUAGUGGGAACAUAAUGAACAUUUUAGCCUGUUUUUUUAAGUCAUAUAUAAGCCACCCCCCAUCAAAUUAUGCAAAAAGAUGCGACUCAUACCCCGAAAAUACUUCAUAUUUUCCAGUCAGCUCUCUGAAUCAUCACUGUUGCAUCAAUCAUUCAGGCGUGGAAAAACAUGCAAGCUCGUUGCUUUUUUCAUGACAGAGCUUUGAUAACAGUGGCUUAUGAUGCCUCGUUUGGCAAAGAGUUGAGUGUCUGUUCAACUGCUUCACAAACUUUCCAAAGGUUUUCCCCGUCAACAUCGCA
Long non-coding RNA from Oryzias melastigma (Indian medaka), 1485 nucleotides. RefSeq lists it as uncharacterized. NCBI's taxonomy places the organism in Eukaryota, Metazoa, Chordata, Actinopteri, Beloniformes, Adrianichthyidae. The record is from RefSeq and is a predicted model, not a curated record. The transcript has 3 exons.